CUACGGGUCGCAGCAGUGGGGAAUCUUAGACAAUGGGGGAAACCCUGAUCUAGCCAUGCCGCGUGAGCGACGACGGCCCUAGGGUUGUAAAGCUCUUUCAGCAGGGAAGAUAAUGACGGUACCUGCAGAAGAAGUCCCGGCUAACUCCGUGCCAGCAGCCGCGGUAAUACGGAGGGGACUAGCGUUGUUCGGAAUUACUGGGCGUAAAGCGCGCGUAGGCGGAUUGUUAAGUCGGGGGUGAAAUCCCGGGGCUCAACCCCGGAACUGCCCUCGAUACUGGCAGUCUUGAGUUCGAGAGAGGUGAGUGGAAUUCCGAGUGUAGAGGUGAAAUUCGUAGAUAUUCGGAGGAACACCAGUGGCGAAGGCGGCUCACUGGCCCGAUACUGACGCUGAGGUGCGAAAGCGUGGGGAGCAAACAGGAUUAGAUACCCUCGUAGUC
RNAcentral lists this ribosomal RNA (439 nucleotides) under uncultured bacterium. RNAcentral's name for it is "partial 16S ribosomal RNA". It matches the Rfam family "Bacterial small subunit ribosomal RNA", at positions 339 to 795 of the family's 1533-position model. The record is from RNAcentral.